AUGAGAGCGCUCGAGGUGGUGGUCGUGCUAGCCAUGGCGGCCAUGGCCAUCGGCACCGUGCACGCUGCACAGUGCGGCUCCCAGGCUGGCGGGGCGACCUGCCCCAACUGCCUCUGCUGCAGCCGCUAUGGCUGGUGCGGCUCCACCUCGGAAUACUGCGGUGACGGCUGCCAGAGCCAGUGCUCUGGCUGCGGCGGCGGUGCCACGCCCGUCACACCCAAUCCCAUUGGCGGUGGCGUGUCCUCCAUUAUCUCCCGCUCCCUCUUCAACCAAAUGCUACUCCACCGUAAUGACCCAGGAUGCCAUGCCAGGGGCUUCUAUACCUAUGACGCCUUCGUCACAGCCGCCGCCGCCUUUCCUGGCUUCGGCACCACAGGCGACACCGCCACCCGAAAGCGCGAGGUGGCCGCCUUCCUAGCGCAAACCUCUCAUGAGACCACUGGCGAGUGGGCCACAGCCCCGAACGGGCCCUAUGCAUGGGGCUACUGCUUCAAGCAGGAGCAGAACCCCACCUCGAACUACUGCACCCCAAGCACGCAGUGGCCAUGUGCGCCCGGAAAGAGCUAUUAUGGCCGUGGGCCCAUCCAACUAUCUCACAACUACAACUACGGGCAAGCAGGCCGGGCCAUCGGGGCCGACCUAUUGGGCAACCCAAACUUGGUGGCCACAAACCCGACCGUGUCAUUCAAAACUGCCAUCUGGUUUUGGAUGAUGGCGCAACUGCCCAAGCCCUCGAGCCAUGCAGUGAUCACGGGACAAUGGAAACCUUCGGCGACAGACCGGGCCGCGGGGCGGGUGCCUGGGUUUGGCGUGAUCACCAACAUUGUCAACGGCGGGAUUGAGUGCGGCCACGGGUAUGAUAAUCGUGUUGCUGACCGAAUUGGGUUCUACAAACGCUACUGCAACAUCUUCGGUAUCGGCUAUGGUGGCAACCUCGACUGCUACAAGCAGAGCCCCUUCGCUUAA
Molecule: ribosomal RNA, 966 nt
Filed under: Triticum aestivum (bread wheat)
Lineage: Eukaryota; Viridiplantae; Streptophyta; Magnoliopsida; Poales; Poaceae
Description: partial small subunit ribosomal RNA
Source: RNAcentral